This 301-nucleotide ribosomal RNA is filed under the name uncultured bacterium. RNAcentral's name for it is "partial 16S ribosomal RNA". It matches the Rfam family "Bacterial small subunit ribosomal RNA", at positions 509 to 809 of the family's 1533-position model. The record is from RNAcentral.
CAGCCGCCGCGGGAAUACGGAGGGUGCAAGCGUUAAUCGGAAUUACUGGGCGUAAAGCGCACGCAGGCGGUCUGUCAAGUCAGAUGUGAAAUCCCCGGGCUUAACCUGGGAACUGCAUUUGAAACUGGCAGGCUAGAGUCUUGUAGAGGGGGGUAGAAUUCCAGGUGUAGCGGUGAAAUGCGUAGAGAUCUGGAGGAAUACCGGUGGCGAAGGCGGCCCCCUGGACAAAGACUGACGCUCAGGUGCGAAAGCGUGGGGAGCAAACAGGAUUAGAGACCCCAGUAGUCCCUGUCUCUUAUAA